AAACCUACAUCCACACAGAAACGUACAC
Molecule: non-coding RNA, 28 nt
Filed under: Homo sapiens (human)
Lineage: Eukaryota; Metazoa; Chordata; Mammalia; Primates; Hominidae
Source: RNAcentral